GGGUUGUGAGGUUAAGCGACUAAGCGUACACGGUGGAUGCCCUGGCAGUCAGAGGCGAUGAAGGACGUGCUAAUCUGCGAUAAGCGUCGGUAAGGUGAUAUGAACCGUUAUAACCGGCGAUUUCCGAAUGGGGAAACCCAGUGUGUUUCGACACACUAUCAUUAACUGAAUCCAUAGGUUAAUGAGGCGAACCGGGGGAACUGAAACAUCUAAGUACCCCGAGGAAAAGAAAUCAACCGAGAUUCCCCCAGUAGCGGCGAGCGAACGGGGAGCAGCCCAGAGCCUGAAUCAGUAUGUGUGUUAGUGGAAGCGUCUGGAAAGGCGCGCGAUACAGGGUGACAGCCCCGUACACAAAAAUGCACAUAUUGUGAGCUCGAUGAGUAGGGCGGGACACGUGGUAUCCUGUCUGAAUAUGGGGGGACCAUCCUCCAAGGCUAAAUACCCUGACUGACCGAUAGUGAACCAGUACCGUGAGGGAAAGGCGAAAAGAACCCCGGCGAGGGGAGUGAAAAAAGAACCUGAAACCGUGUACGUACAAGCAGUGGGAGCACGCUUAGGCGUGUGACUGCGUACCUUUGUAUAAUGGGUCAGCGACUUAUAUUCUGUAGCAAGGUUAACCGAAUAGGGGAGCCGAAGGGAAACCGAGUCUUAACUGGGCGUUAAGUUGCAGGGUAUAGACCCGAAACCCGGUGAUCUAGCCAUGGGCAGGUUGAAGGUUGGGUAACACUAACUGGAGGACCGAACCGACUAAUGUUGAAAAAUUAGCGGAUGACUUGUGGCUGGGGGUGAAAGGCCAAUCAAACCGGGAGAUAGCUGGUUCUCCCCGAAAGCUAUUUAGGUAGCGCCUCGUGAAUUCAUCUCCGGGGGUAGAGCACUGUUUCGGCAAGGGGGUCAUCCCGACUUACCAACCCGAUGCAAACUGCGAAUACCGGAGAAUGUUAUCACGGGAGACACACGGCGGGUGCUAACGUCCGUCGUGAAGAGGGAAACAACCCAGACCGCCAGCUAAGGUCCCAAAGUCAUGGUUAAGUGGGAAACGAUGUGGGAAGGCCCAGACAGCCAGGAUGUUGGCUUAGAAGCAGCCAUCAUUUAAAGAAAGCGUAAUAGCUCACUGGUCGAGUCGGCCUGCGCGGAAGAUGUAACGGGGCUAAACCAUGCACCGAAGCUGCGGCAGCGACGCUUAUGCGUUGUUGGGUAGGGGAGCGUUCUGUAAGCCUGUGAAGGUGUACUGUGAGGUAUGCUGGAGGUAUCAGAAGUGCGAAUGCUGACAUAAGUAACGAUAAAGCGGGUGAAAAGCCCGCUCGCCGGAAGACCAAGGGUUCCUGUCCAACGUUAAUCGGGGCAGGGUGAGUCGACCCCUAAGGCGAGGCCGAAAGGCGUAGUCGAUGGGAAACAGGUUAAUAUUCCUGUACUUGGUGUUACUGCGAAGGGGGGACGGAGAAGGCUAUGUUGGCCGGGCGACGGUUGUCCCGGUUUAAGCGUGUAGGCUGGUUUUCCAGGCAAAUCCGGAAAAUCAAGGCUGAGGCGUGAUGACGAGGCACUACGGUGCUGAAGCAACAAAUGCCCUGCUUCCAGGAAAAGCCUCUAAGCAUCAGGUAACAUCAAAUCGUACCCCAAACCGACACAGGUGGUCAGGUAGAGAAUACCAAGGCGCUUGAGAGAACUCGGGUGAAGGAACUAGGCAAAAUGGUGCCGUAACUUCGGGAGAAGGCACGCUGAUAUGUAGGUGAAGCGACUUGCUCGUGGAGCUGAAAUCAGUCGAAGAUACCAGCUGGCUGCAACUGUUUAUUAAAAACACAGCACUGUGCAAACACGAAAGUGGACGUAUACGGUGUGACGCCUGCCCGGUGCCGGAAGGUUAAUUGAUGGGGUUAGCGCAAGCGAAGCUCUUGAUCGAAGCCCCGGUAAACGGCGGCCGUAACUAUAACGGUCCUAAGGUAGCGAAAUUCCUUGUCGGGUAAGUUCCGACCUGCACGAAUGGCGUAAUGAUGGCCAGGCUGUCUCCACCCGAGACUCAGUGAAAUUGAACUCGCUGUGAAGAUGCAGUGUACCCGCGGCAAGACGGAAAGACCCCGUGAACCUUUACUAUAGCUUGACACUGAACAUUGAGCCUUGAUGUGUAGGAUAGGUGGGAGGCUUUGAAGUGUGGACGCCAGUCUGCAUGGAGCCGACCUUGAAAUACCACCCUUUAAUGUUUGAUGUUCUAACGUUGACCCGUAAUCCGGGUUGCGGACAGUGUCUGGUGGGUAGUUUGACUGGGGCGGUCUCCUCCUAAAGAGUAACGGAGGAGCACGAAGGUUGGCUAAUCCUGGUCGGACAUCAGGAGGUUAGUGCAAUGGCAUAAGCCAGCUUGACUGCGAGCGUGACGGCGCGAGCAGGUGCGAAAGCAGGUCAUAGUGAUCCGGUGGUUCUGAAUGGAAGGGCCAUCGCUCAACGGAUAAAAGGUACUCCGGGGAUAACAGGCUGAUACCGCCCAAGAGUUCAUAUCGACGGCGGUGUUUGGCACCUCGAUGUCGGCUCAUCACAUCCUGGGGCUGAAGUAGGUCCCAAGGGUAUGGCUGUUCGCCAUUUAAAGUGGUACGCGAGCUGGGUUUAGAACGUCGUGAGACAGUUCGGUCCCUAUCUGCCGUGGGCGCUGGAGAACUGAGGGGGGCUGCUCCUAGUACGAGAGGACCGGAGUGGACGCAUCACUGGUGUUCGGGUUGUCAUGCCAAUGGCACUGCCCGGUAGCUAAAUGCGGAAGAGAUAAGUGCUGAAAGCAUCUAAGCACGAAACUUGCCCCGAGAUGAGUUCUCCCUGACUCCUUGAGAGUCCUGAAGGAACGUUGAAGACGACGACGUUGAUAGGCCGGGUGUGUAAGCGCAGCGAUGCGUUGAGCUAACCGGUACUAAUGAACCGUGAGGCUUAACCUUACAACGCCGAAGGUGUUU
Molecule: ribosomal RNA, 2930 nt
Filed under: Escherichia coli
Lineage: Bacteria; Pseudomonadati; Pseudomonadota; Gammaproteobacteria; Enterobacterales; Enterobacteriaceae
Description: 23S ribosomal RNA
Rfam family: Bacterial large subunit ribosomal RNA
Source: RNAcentral